Cyprinus carpio (common carp) is the source of this 1091-nucleotide long non-coding RNA. RefSeq lists it as uncharacterized. The record is from RefSeq and is a predicted model, not a curated record. The transcript has 3 exons. NCBI's taxonomy places the organism in Eukaryota, Metazoa, Chordata, Actinopteri, Cypriniformes, Cyprinidae.
UUAUUUUGGUUGUGAUUAAUCACCAAUCGUUUGACAGCACUAAUUUAAAUAAAUAAAAAAUGUAAUGCAUCUUUUUGCUCUGGUGUCUUAGACAUGCGAUUGAAGUGAACAAGAGAGACUACCGAGCCUGGUACGGACUCGGACAGACCUACGGGAUCCUCAAAAUGACCUUCUACUCGCUCUACUACUACUGUGUGUGUGUGUGUGUGUGUGUGUGUGUGUGUGUGUGAUGGUUUCAGGCCUAAUUAGAACGAACAUUCGGUGAAUGUUACAGAAACUGUCUCAGCAAGUGGAGGCCAAAAAGGUAAACCGGUGACUAUUAUACUGUAGCACUGAAACAGAGACUGAAUGUGUGUAGUGCUGCUGACGCUCUGCUCUGACGGCUUCGGUGUUACUGGAGGGUGUAUUCGGUCGGAGAUGUGGAGAGGAUGGCUCUUCUGAAGCUGGCCAAGUGAGUGUGUGUUCUUCAGGAGUGUGUUGUGUGAGAGCAGAUGUGUGUGUUUCUAGGCUUCACAAGCAGCUGAAUGAAUCUGGCGACGCUGCAGUGCUACAUCAUCUACAUCCGGGAUAUUUUCUCGUGUGGGGAGCAGCUGGAGCACGCGGAGGUCAGCACCGCUCUCAGGUAUCUGGGUCAGUAUUACUUCAAGAACAGACUGUACGACGAGGCGUGUCGAUUAUAACGACGCGCGAGAGGAAGGCAAGGCUUUGUUGAGACAGAUCUCUGCGGUUCGAGAGCCCAACUCUACCCUGCGUCUUCAACCCGCUGUCCAACACCACCACACCGGUCUCCCCUCGACCUGUCCUCCAUCACACCCUGACACACAAACACGUUCAUGUCACACUGUAAAUAACGCUUUGUACAGACAACGAUGAGUGUCAUAGCAAAUAAACUGAAGAAGCUUUGACAGUGGAGUGUUUUAUUACAUACACACUCAUUUUAGUUUGGAUUAUACAGUGGAAAGACAUUCAAAAGUGACAAACAAACAUCUCUAACCUUCCAAAACUAAUGCAAAAUGUGCAAAAGAGGAGCCAGAGCAAGAAUGUAGUGAUAUAAUCUGCAUUAGGAAACUUACACACACGCCAAAGAAAAA